CGGGUAUGAACGAUUUAUCGUUCUAAGUGAGUGACGUCACACUGCCAAGAAAAGCUUCUAGUUAGAAUCAGACCGCCCGUACCGCAAACCGACACAGGUAGUCGGGUCGAGAAGACCAAGGUGAGCGAGAGAACUCUCGUUAAGGAACUCGGCAAAAUGACCCCGUAACUUCGGGAGAAGGGGUGCUGAUCGCAAGAUCAGCCGCAGUGAAUAGGCCCAGGCGACUGUUUAUCAAAAACACAGGUUUCUGCAAAAUCGUAAGAUGAAGUAUAGGGGCUGACGCCUGCCCGGUGCUGGAAGGUUAAGAGGAUGGGUUAGCGCAAGCGAAGCUCAGAAUUGAAGCCCCAGUAAACGGCGGCCGUAACGAUAACGGUCCUAAGGUAGCGAAAUUCCUUGUCGGGUAAGUUCCGACCCGCACGAAAGGCGCAACGAUCUGGGCACUGUCUCAACGAGAGACUCGGUGAAAUUAUAAUACCCGUGAAGAUGCGGGUUACCCGCGACAGGACGGAAAGACCCCAUGGAGCUUUACUGUAGCUUGAUAUUGGGUGUUUGUACAACUUGUACAGGAUAGGUAGGAGCCGUAGAAGUCGGGACGCUAGUUUCGACGGAGGCAUCGGUGGGAUACUACCCUCGUUGUAUGAACACUCUAACCCACGCCGGCAAUCACGGCGGGAGACAGUGUCAGGUGGGCAGUUUGACUGGGGCGGUCGCCUCCUAAUAGGUAACGGAGGCGCCCAAAGGUUCCCUCAGAAUGGUUGGAAAUCAUUCGCAGAGUGUAAAGGCAUAAGGGAGCUUGACUGCGAGACCUACAAGUCGAGCAGGGACGAAAGUCGGGCUUAGUGAUCCGGUGGUUCCGCAUGGAAGGGCCAUCGCUCAACGGAUAAAAGCUACCCUGGGGAUAACAGGCUUAUCUCCCCCAAGAGUCCACAUCGACGGGGAGGUUUGGCACCUCGAUGUCGGCUCAUCGCAUCCUGGGGCUGUAGUCGGUCCCAAGGGUUGGGCUGUUCGCCCAUUAAAGCGGUACGCGAGCUGGGUUCAGAACGUCGUGAGACAGUUCGGUCCCUAUCCGUCGCGGGCGCAGGAAAUUUGAGAGGAUCUGUCCUUAGUACGAGAGGACCGGGAUGGACAUACCGCUGGUGUACCAGUUGUUCUGCCAAGGGCAUCGCUGGGUAGCUAUGUAUGGAUGAGAUAAACGCUGAAAGCAUCUAAGUGCGAAACUCACCUCGAGAUAAGAUUUCCCACCA
RNAcentral lists this ribosomal RNA (1244 nucleotides) under metagenome. RNAcentral describes it as "bacterial LSU rRNA". It matches the Rfam family "Bacterial large subunit ribosomal RNA", at positions 1565 to 2819 of the family's 2925-position model. The record is from RNAcentral.